UGUAAAUUAAUUAAAAUAACCUAAUAAGACAAAUGAUAAAAGCUAUCAUUUUUUUUCAUUCUUUCUUCUUCAACCGUGGGAAAGAACAGAAAAUAGCAGCCAUGGAUGAGCUCCAUUCGGCCAAGCUUUUAUGGCUUAUAUAGAUGAUGAAAAUUGAGACUUGGACCUAGAACGGAAAGAAAUCGAUUUAUGGACGAGUAUGUCCUUUUCACAUUUGUGGUAUCGAGAGUUCCAGGUUAGCUCGGGUUGGAGGCCGUCAGAGAUAUUAUCACCCUAUCGAGUUAACGUUAUCGGAGUAAGUAAACUCAAGUGAUUCAGUCUAUGGCAUGUAUAGGGAUUUAAUGUGAGUAUGUAAUAUUAUGAUUUAGCCAAAGGCAUUGGCUUGUUAUUAAGGUAGUAUUAGUCAUGUAAAUUGGCCUAUGUCGGCUAAUGACGUUAUGGGCCCAUAUGAUUAUUCUUAUGCAUUUAUGUUAUUAUUUCUUGUGAUGUGGCUUACAACAUGUAUGCCUAGAGAUUGAAUUGAGAUUCAUUGAUGAGCUAGUAACUAAUGCAGGAUUAAGUGAUUGGUAAAUAGUUAAUAA
This is a long non-coding RNA of Gossypium arboreum, 581 nucleotides long. RefSeq lists it as uncharacterized. Lineage: Eukaryota; Viridiplantae; Streptophyta; Magnoliopsida; Malvales; Malvaceae. The transcript has 3 exons. The record is from RefSeq and is a predicted model, not a curated record.